UUGCUUAUUCUAGAAGCACCUAUACUAGAAUCAAAACAAUAUGGAAAAGAUUAGCACAGUCGUUGAACAAGGAUGACAUAUUCCAUAUUUUCCAUAUUUUA
Molecule: small nuclear RNA, 101 nt
Organism: Phascolarctos cinereus (koala)
Lineage: Eukaryota; Metazoa; Chordata; Mammalia; Diprotodontia; Phascolarctidae
Source: Ensembl